This 406-nucleotide ribosomal RNA is filed under the name uncultured bacterium. RNAcentral describes it as "bacterial SSU rRNA". It matches the Rfam family "Bacterial small subunit ribosomal RNA", at positions 28 to 428 of the family's 1533-position model. The record is from RNAcentral.
GACGAACGCUGGCGGCGUGCUUAAUACAUGCAAGUCGAGCGAGGCCCAUCCAGUGGCAACACUGGGGAAGGCCGAGCGGCGAACGGGUGAGUAACACGUGAGCAACCUGCCCCGAAGUCUGGAAUAACAUCGGGAAACCGGUGCUAAUACCGGAUUGCCCCACCUGACCGCAUGAUCGGGUGAGGAAAGAUUUAUCGCUUCGGGAGGGGCUCGCGGCCUAUCAGCAGUUGGCGGGGUAACGGCCCACCAAGGCGUCGACGGGUAGCUGGUCUGAGAGGACGACCAGCCACACUGGGACUGAGACACGGCCCAGACUCCUACGGGAGGCAGCAGUAGGGAAUCUUGCGCAAUGGGCGAAAGCCUGACGCAGCAACGCCGCGUGGGGGAUGACGGCCUCGGUUCGUAA